RNAcentral lists this ribosomal RNA (354 nucleotides) under Pseudomonas putida. RNAcentral's name for it is "bacterial SSU rRNA". It matches the Rfam family "Bacterial small subunit ribosomal RNA", at positions 92 to 449 of the family's 1533-position model. Lineage: Bacteria; Pseudomonadati; Pseudomonadota; Gammaproteobacteria; Pseudomonadales; Pseudomonadaceae. The record is from RNAcentral.
UCAGCGGCGGACGGGUGAGUAAUGCCUAGGAAUCUGCCUGGUAGUGGGGGACAACGUUUCGAAAGGAACGCUAAUACCGCAUACGUCCUACGGGAGAAAGCAGGGGACCUUCGGGCCUUGCGCUAUCAGAUGAGCCUAGGUCGGAUUAGCUAGUUGGUGGGGUAAUGGCCCACCAAGGCGACGAUCCGUAACUGGUCUGAGAGGAUGAUCCGUCACACUGGAACUGAGACACGGUCCAGACUCCUACGGGAGGCAGCAGUGGGGAAUAUUGGACAAUGGGCGAAACCCUGAUCCAGCCAUGCCGCGUGUGUGAAGAAGGUCUUCUGAUUGUAAAGCACUUUAAGUUGGGAGGAA